Molecule: ribosomal RNA, 559 nt
Filed under: uncultured Streptococcus sp.
Lineage: Bacteria; Bacillati; Bacillota; Bacilli; Lactobacillales; Streptococcaceae
Description: bacterial SSU rRNA
Rfam family: Bacterial small subunit ribosomal RNA
Source: RNAcentral
AUGGACCUGCGUUGUAUUAGCUAGUUGGUGAGGUAAAGGCUCACCAAGGCGACGAUACAUAGCCGACCUGAGAGGGUGAUCGGCCACACUGGGACUGAGACACGGCCCAGACUCCUACGGGAGGCAGCAGUAGGGAAUCUUCGGCAAUGGACGGAAGUCUGACCGAGCAACGCCGCGUGAGUGAAGAAGGUUUUCGGAUCGUAAAGCUCUGUUGUUAGAGAAGAACGUUGGUAGGAGUGGAAAAUCUACCAAGUGACGGUAACUAACCAGAAAGGGACGGCUAACUACGUGCCAGCAGCCGCGGUAAUACGUAGGUCCCGAGCGUUGUCCGGAUUUAUUGGGCGUAAGGCGAGCGCAGGCGGUUCUUUAAGUCUGAAGUUAAAGGCAGUGGCUUAACCAUUGUACGCUUUGGAAACUGGAGGACUUGAGUGCAGAAGGGGAGAGUGGAAUUCCAUGUGUAGCGGUGAAAUGCGUAGAUAUAUGGAGGAACACCGGUGGCGAAAGCGGCUCUCUGGUCUGUAACUGGCGCUGAGGCUCGAAAGCGUGGGGAGCAAACAGG